Molecule: microRNA precursor, 95 nt
Filed under: Helianthus annuus (common sunflower)
Lineage: Eukaryota; Viridiplantae; Streptophyta; Magnoliopsida; Asterales; Asteraceae
Description: microRNA MIR167_1
Rfam family: MIR167 microRNA precursor family
Source: RNAcentral
AAUUAGUAAUAGAUGAAGCUGCCAGCAUGAUCUAAACUUUUCUUUAUAAACAAAAGAAAUGAUCAGAUCAUGUGGUAUCUUCAUCUGUUGCUAUG